Molecule: non-coding RNA, 62 nt
Organism: Caloramator quimbayensis
Lineage: Bacteria; Bacillati; Bacillota; Clostridia; Eubacteriales; Clostridiaceae
Source: Rfam
CCUUUGGAGUGUCAAACAAACAUGAGUAGGUUUAUCCGAAAGUGGACACGAUGAACAAGGAA